Molecule: unclassified non-coding RNA, 156 nt
Filed under: uncultured Dothideomycetes
Lineage: Eukaryota; Fungi; Ascomycota; Dothideomycetes
Description: sequence contains ITS2
Source: RNAcentral
UCACCCCCCAAGCUCUGCUUGAUGUUGGACGGAGCGGAAAGCCUGCCCGUCCGAAACUUGUGAGGCGUCCGACCGUCGAGCACCAGCGUGGCAAGCAAAAACUUCGCUGGGAGUGCUUCGACGGCCGACUGCCGCGAAACUACCUACAUCAUUUCA